This 513-nucleotide ribosomal RNA is filed under the name uncultured bacterium. Its description in RNAcentral is "partial 16S ribosomal RNA". It matches the Rfam family "Bacterial small subunit ribosomal RNA", at positions 28 to 507 of the family's 1533-position model. The record is from RNAcentral.
GACGAACGCUGGCGGCGUGCUUAACACAUGCAAGUCGAACGAAAAGAGGGAAAGAGCUUGCUCUUUCCGGAAUUGAGUGGCAAACGGGUGAGUAACACGUAAACAGCCUGCCUUCAGGAUGGGGACAACAGACGGAAACGACUGCUAAUACCGAAUAAGUUCCAAGGGCCGCAUGGCCCAUGGAAGAAAAGGUGGCCUCUACCUGUAAGCUAUCGCCUGAAGAGGGGUUUGCGUCUGAUUAGCUGGUUGGAGGGGUAACGGCCCACCAAGGCGACGAUCAGUAGCCGGUCUGAGAGGAUGAACGGCCACACUGGAACUGAGACACGGUCCAGACUCCUACGGGAGGCAGCAGUGGGGAAUCUUCCGCAAUGGGCGAAAGCCUGACGGAGCAACGCCGCGUGAGUGAUGACGGCCUUCGGGUUGUAAAACUCUGUGAUCCGGGACGAAAAGGCAGAGUGCGAAGAACAAACUGCAUUGACGGUACCGGAAAAGCAAGCCACGGCUAACUACGUG